GACGAACGCUGGCGGCGUGCCUAAUACAUGCAAGUCGAGCGCAGGAAACUGACGGAACUCUUCGGAGGGAAGGCAGCGGAAUGAGCGGCGGACGGGUGAGUAACAUGUAAGGAACCUGCCUCAAGGAUUGGGAUAACUCCGAGAAAUCGGAGCUAAUACCGGAUAGUUCAUCGGACCGCAUGGUCCGUUGAUGAAAGGCGCUCCGGCGUCACCUUGAGAUGGCCUUGCGGUGCAUUAGCUAGUUGGUGGGGUAACGGCCCACCAAGGCGACGAUGCAUAGCCGACCUGAGAGGGUGAUCGGCCACACUGGGACUGAGACACGGCCCAGACUCCUACGGGAGGCAGCAGUAGGGAAUCUUCCACAAUGGACGAAAGUCUGAUGGAGCAACGCCGCGUGAGUGAUGAAGGUUUUCGGAUCGUAAAACUCUGUUGUAAGGGAAGAACACGUACGAGAGGAAAUGCUCGUACCUUGACGGUACCUUACGAGAAAGCCACGGCUAACUACGUGCCAGCAGCCGCAGUAA
Molecule: ribosomal RNA, 524 nt
Filed under: uncultured bacterium
Lineage: Bacteria
Description: partial 16S ribosomal RNA
Rfam family: Bacterial small subunit ribosomal RNA
Source: RNAcentral